This 468-nucleotide ribosomal RNA is filed under the name uncultured bacterium. Its description in RNAcentral is "partial 16S ribosomal RNA". It matches the Rfam family "Bacterial small subunit ribosomal RNA", at positions 28 to 507 of the family's 1533-position model. The record is from RNAcentral.
GACGAACGCUGGCGGCGUGCUUAACACAUGCAAGUCGAACGGAAAGGCCCUGCUUUUGUGGGGUGCUCGAGUGGCGAACGCGCGAGUAACACGUGAGUAACCUGUCCCUGACUUUGGGAUAACUUUAGGAAACUGGGGCUAAUACCGGAUAGGAGCUACUGCUGCAUGGUGGGGGUUGGAAAGUUUCGGCGGUUGGGGAUGGACUGGCAGCUUAUCAGCUUGUUGGUGGGGUAGUGGCUUACCAAGGCUUCGACGGCUAGCCGGCCUGGGAGGGUGACCAGCGACAAUACGACUGAGAGACGGCGCAGACUCGUACGUGAGGCAACGGGGGAGAGUAUGACAGAGUAGGCGGAAGCCUGAGAUGAAAGCGCCGCGAGCGGGAUAACGUGCUACUAGUUGUGAACCAAUGUGGCCUGUGACGAGGCGGGAGUGACGGUAAUGAAUAAAGAAGCAACGGCUAACUACGUG